GAUGAACGCUGGCGGCGUGCCUAAUACAUGCAAGUCGAGCGAACGGACGAGAAGCUUGCUUCUCUGAUGUUAGCGGCGGACGGGUGAGUAACACGUGGAUAACCUACCUAUAAGACUGGGAUAACUUCGGGAAACCGGAGCUAAUACCGGAUAAUAUUUUGAACCGCAUGGUUCAAAAGUGAAAGACGGUCUUGCUGUCACUUAUAGAUGGAUCCGCGCUGCAUUAGCUAGUUGGUAAGGUAACGGCUUACCAAGGCAACGAUGCGUAGCCGACCUGAGAGGGGGAUCGGCCACCCUGGAACGGGGACACGGUCCAGACUCCUACGGGAGGCAGCAGUAGGGAAUCUUCCGCAAUGGGCGAAAGCCUGACGGAGCAACGCCGCGUGAGUGAUGAAGGUCUUCGGAUCGUAAAACUCUGUUAUUAGGGAAGAACAGAUGUGUAAGUAACUGUGCACAUCUUGACGGUACCUAAUCAGAAAGCCACGGCUAACUACGUG
RNAcentral lists this ribosomal RNA (497 nucleotides) under uncultured bacterium. Its description in RNAcentral is "partial 16S ribosomal RNA". It matches the Rfam family "Bacterial small subunit ribosomal RNA", at positions 28 to 507 of the family's 1533-position model. The record is from RNAcentral.